RNAcentral lists this ribosomal RNA (154 nucleotides) under uncultured eukaryote. Its description in RNAcentral is "partial 18S ribosomal RNA". It matches the Rfam family "Eukaryotic small subunit ribosomal RNA", at positions 1299 to 1458 of the family's 1831-position model. The record is from RNAcentral.
UGGUGGUUUGAAUUGUCUGGUUGAUUCCGUUAACGAACGAGACCUCGACCUGCUCACUAGUCCGGUCCAUUCUUGUUUGUUUACGUGAAUGGGUUCCGGUUACUUCUUAGAGGGACUAUCGGUGUGUAGCCGAUGGAAGUUCGAGGCAAUAACA